RNAcentral lists this ribosomal RNA (233 nucleotides) under uncultured bacterium. RNAcentral describes it as "partial 16S ribosomal RNA". It matches the Rfam family "Bacterial small subunit ribosomal RNA", at positions 118 to 350 of the family's 1533-position model. The record is from RNAcentral.
UGGGUGAUCUGCCCUGCACUUUGGGAUAAGCCUGGGAAACUGGGUCUAAUACCGGAUACGACUCCUCAUCGCAUGGUGGGGGGUGGAAAGCUUUAUUGUGGUUUUGGAUGGACUCGCGGCCUAUCAGCUUGUUGGUGAGGUAAUGGCCUACCAAGGCGACGACGGGUAGCCGGCCUGAGAGGGUGACCGGCCACACUGGGACUGAGACACGGCCCAGACUCCUACGGGAGGCA